This 595-nucleotide unclassified non-coding RNA is filed under the name Hevea brasiliensis (rubber tree). The record is from RNAcentral. Lineage: Eukaryota; Viridiplantae; Streptophyta; Magnoliopsida; Malpighiales; Euphorbiaceae.
CCCUAUUUUUUUUUUUCUUUGUCCCAAUGAGCUAUACAAUGGGCACAGCUCUCCCCAAAUCAAAACCUCCACCAAAAAAAAAGAGUUUCAAGCAGCAGAAGAGCUAAAAGUCUUGAGCUUUUACCACCAGAACAGAACAAAAUCACUGGUAUUUUGUGAUGAUGUUGCCAAGUCAGUUUAAUAACUCAGUUAGAUGCAAUGAAUAUAUACACAUUUUUUUCACAGGAUGCAAUCAAAAAAUGCAAGCUUACAUACAUCUAAUAACUGAGCAUCAAAUGCAAACUCUAUACUACUAUCCUUUUUUAAAGUAAAGACGAAAAAGAAGACAACUAAUGACCUCAGAAACCUCGAUUUUUAAACCUCGAUGUUGGCGAGUAAUUUUUUAUCCCAUUUAAAAGUUGGUUGCACCUGGCCAAGCACUACCAUUAAGAAUAAGCACAUUUGAAAUUCUAAAACAAAACAAAUAUUUUAUUUUUAAAAAGUCCUUGUAAUAAGAACAUAAUUUAAUCACAUUGUACCUUUUAAUAUACAGUUCCUUUUUAAAAAUUUCAUUUCUGACAUUAGAUAUUAUAGUCAAGUUUUCUUUCUGUGGUGG